CACGGAAUUGAAGACUGCAAACCGCGGCCGAAUUUGGGAGCGUAAGUUCGUAAAUUUGGGAGGGUGUGGAAAUCGGUCGCACAAGAAUCAAAAUAAAAACCCCUCUCUGCCAUCGCAUUAUCGCACGCAGCUGCACGAACAAAACGCAGAAAAUACAUUUUCUGCGCCGAGUCUGCCCCUUUCCCUCUCACUCACAGCGCUGCUUCUGCUUCGGUCUCUUCCUCUUCCUACUGCCUAGUCUACAACAAGAACAAGGGUGAGGUCCAUAAUUGACAUUGCACAAAUGACGAACAAAACAUC
Molecule: non-coding RNA, 300 nt
Organism: Malus domestica (apple)
Lineage: Eukaryota; Viridiplantae; Streptophyta; Magnoliopsida; Rosales; Rosaceae
Source: RefSeq, a predicted model, not a curated record